AGAGUUUGAUCCUGGCUCAGGACGAACGCUGGCGGCGGACUUAACACAUGCAAGUCGAACGAACAGAUCGCCCAAACUUCGGUUAGGCGUAAUGUGAGUGGCGAACGGGUGAGUAACGCGUAGGCAACCUACCCUCGAGUGGGGGAUAACCAUUGGAAACGAUGGCUAAUACCGCAUAAAGUCCUAAUAGCACAUGCUAUCGGGAUGAAAACUCUGGUGCUCGAGGAUGGGCCUGCGAUGGAUUAGGAAGUUGGUGAGGUAACGGCUCACCAAUCCUGCGAUCCAUAGCUGGUCUGAGAGGAUGAUCAGCCACACUGGCACUGAGACACGGGCCAGACUCCUACGGGAGGCAGCAGUGAGGAAUAUUGGGCAAUGGGCGAAAGCCUGACCCAGUCACGCCGCGUGCAGGAUGACACCCCUAUGGGGCGUAAACUGCUUUUAUAUGGGAAGAACCCUCUCGAUUCGUCGGGAGCUGACGGUACCAUACGAAUAAGGACCGGCUAACUCCGUGCCAGCAGCCGCGGUAAUACGGAGGGUCCAAGCGUUGUCCGGAUUUAUUGGGUGUAAAGGGUGUGUAGGCGGGCUUGUAAGUCAGAGGUGAAAUCCUACGGCUCAACCGUAGAACUGCCUUUGAUACUGCAGGUCUUGAGUCCUGGAGAGGUUGCUAGAAUUCGUGGUGUAGCGGUGAAAUGCGUAGAUAUCACGAGGAAUACCGGUUACGAAGGUUGGCAGCUGGACAGGUACUGACGCUGAGGCACGAAAGCGUGGGGAGCAAACAGGAUUAGAUACCCUGGUAGUCCACGCCGUAAACGAUGAUCACUCGGUGUCGCGGAGUAAUCUGCGGUGCCUAAGCUAACGCAUUAAGUGAUCCACCUGGGGAGUACGAUCGCAAGGUUGAAACUCAAAGGAAUUGACGGGGGCCCGCACAAGCGGUGGAGCAUGUGGCUUAAUUCGAUGCAACGCGAGGAACCUUACCUGGGCUCGAACGCUACCGGACGGCCGCCCGAAAGGGGGCUUUUCUUCGGAACUGGUAGUGAGGUGCUGCAUGGCUGUCGUCAGUUCGUGUCGUGAGAUGUUGGGUUAAGUCCCGCAACGAACGCAACCCCUAUUGUUAGUUACCAGCGGGUUAAGCCGGGGACUCUAGCGAGACUGCCUGCGUAAGCAGUGAGGAAGGUGGGGACGACGUCAAGUCAUCAUGGCCCUUAUGCCCAGGGCUGCACACGUGCUACAAUGGUCGGUACAACGGGCAGCCACCCCGCGAGGGGGAGCUAAUCCAUAAAGCCGGCCUCAGUUCGGAUCGGAGUCUGCAACUCGACUCCGUGAAGUCGGAAUCGCUAGUAAUCGCGUAUCAGCAACGACGCGGUGAAUACGUUCCCGGGCCUUGUACACACCGCCCGUCAAGCCAUGGAAGCCGGGGGCACCCGAAGCCCGUGACCCAACUUCGGAGGGAGCGGUCGAAGGUGAAUCUGGUGACUGGGGCUAAGUCGUAACAAGGUAACC
This 1500-nucleotide ribosomal RNA is filed under the name uncultured bacterium. RNAcentral describes it as "bacterial SSU rRNA". It matches the Rfam family "Bacterial small subunit ribosomal RNA". The record is from RNAcentral.